Molecule: long non-coding RNA, 985 nt
Organism: Pectinophora gossypiella (pink bollworm)
Lineage: Eukaryota; Metazoa; Arthropoda; Insecta; Lepidoptera; Gelechiidae
Exons: 7
Source: RefSeq, a predicted model, not a curated record
AGGAAAUGCAGAUGGCAAUAAACUGUGUAGGAGUUUAUGAUUGCAAUAGAAUAAAAUCGACCAAGCCUGAAGUCAGCAGCCCCUUCAAUGAAUGCAGCAGUGUGACAGCCAGCAAUCAAAAGUUACAAGAUAUCGAGGAAAUGCAGAUGGCAAUAAACUGUGUAGGAGUUUAUGAUUGCAAUAGAAUAAAAUCGACCAAGCCUGAAGUCAGCAGCCCCUUCAAUGAAUGCAGCAGUGUGACAGCCAACAAUCAAAAGUUACAAGAUAUCGAGGAAAUGCAGAAGGCAAAAAACUGCGUAGGAGAUCAUUAAUACAAAAGUAUUAUAUAAACCAAACCUGAUGUUGCCAGCUCCUUCAAUGAAUGCAGCAGUGUGACAGCCAGCAAUCAAAAGUAACAAGAUAUCGAGGAAAUGCAGAAGGCAAAAAACUGCGUAGGAGAUCAUUAAUACAAUAGUAUUAUAUAUAAACCAAGCCUGAUGUUGGCCGCUCAUUCAAAGAAUGCAGCAGUGUGACAGCCAGCAAUCAAAAGUAACAAGAUGUCGAGGAAAUGCAGAGUGCAAUAAACUGUGUAGGAGAUUAUGAUUGCAAUAGAAUAAAAUCGACCAAGCCUGAAGUUCUUCAAUGCACGCAGCAGUGUGACAUCCAGCAAUCAAAAGUUACAAGAUAUCGAGGAAAUGCAGAAGGCAAAAAACUGCGUAGGAGAUUAUUAAUACAAUAGUAUUAUAUCAACCAAGCCUGAUGUCGGUAGCUUCUUCAAUGAAUGCAGCAGUGUGACAGCCAGCAAUCAAUAGUGAUAGUGACAAGAAUCUAGGAAAUACAGAAGGCAAAGAAGCAGAUGUCAUCAAAGAAGAUCUUUGUUCCUGCAAUGUUUCCGCAGACGAUACAUCCAACAGAGCGAAGUCGAAGGAAAAGACUCGGAAAAAAGAGCCCACCACCAUAUGGGAACAAUGCAAGGGAGAGAGAGAAUAUAAUUUUAUAUUUUUAU